UCGCCUGUUUAUUAAAAACAUGGCUUAUUGAUUUUGAUUUUAAGUCUGACCUGCUCAAUGAUUUUUUAAUAGCUGCAGUAUUUUGACUGUACAAAGGUAGCAUAAUCAUUAGUUUUUUAAUUGAAAGCUGGAAUGAAGGGUUGAAUGAAAAAAUUUCUGUCUCUAUAAAAGUUUAAAAGAAAUUUAUUUUUAAGUAAGAAAGCUUAAAUGUUUUUAGAAGACGAGAAGACCCUAUAGAGUUUUAUAAUUUAAAAAUAAGGUUUUAUUUAAGUUUUAUUAAUCUUUAUUUAUUAAAUUAUUUUAUUGGGGUGAUUGAAAAAUUAAUAAAACUUUUUUUGUAUGAGAUCAUUGAUUUAUGAAUAAUUGAUCCUUAAAUUAAGAUUAGUAGAUAAAAUUACCUUAGGGAUAACAGCGUAAUUUUUUUUAGAGUUCUUAUUGAAAAAGAAGAUUGCGACCUCGAUGUUGGAUUAAAAUAAAUUAUUGGUGAAGAAGCUAAAUAAUUAGGUCUGUUCGACCUUUAGAAUUUUACAUGAUCUGAGUUUAAACCGGUGUGAGCCAGGUCGGUUUCUAUCU
This 573-nucleotide ribosomal RNA is filed under the name Semiathe cf. linnei MB-2015. RNAcentral describes it as "partial 16S ribosomal RNA". It matches the Rfam family "Bacterial large subunit ribosomal RNA", at positions 1796 to 2643 of the family's 2925-position model. The record is from RNAcentral. Lineage: Eukaryota; Metazoa; Arthropoda; Insecta; Coleoptera; Curculionidae.